RNAcentral lists this ribosomal RNA (360 nucleotides) under uncultured bacterium. Its description in RNAcentral is "bacterial SSU rRNA". It matches the Rfam family "Bacterial small subunit ribosomal RNA", at positions 129 to 507 of the family's 1533-position model. The record is from RNAcentral.
CCCUUCAGAGGGGGAUAGUGUCUGGAAACGGACAGUAAUACCGCAUAAUGUACAUUGAUGGCAUCUUCGAUGUACCAAAGCUUUUGCGCUGAAGGAUGGGCUCGCGUCUGAUUAGAUAGUUGGUGGGGUAAUGGCCUACCAAGUCGACGAUCAGUANCCGGACUGAGAGGUUGAACGGCCACAUUGGGACUGAGACACGGCCCAAACUCCUACGGGAGGCAGCAGUGGGGAAUAUUGCACAAUGGGGGAAACCCUGAUGCAGCGACGCCGCGUGAGUGAUGAAGUAUUUCGGUAUGUAAAACUCUAUCAGCAGGGAAGAUAAUGACGGUACCUGACUAAGAAGCACCGGCUAAAUACGUG